UAGAGUUUGAUCAUGGCUCAGGACGAACGCUGGCGGCGUGCUUAACACAUGCAAGUCGAACGCUGAAGCCCGGUGCUUGCACUGGGUGGAUGAGUGGCGAACGGGUGAGUAACACGUGAGUAACCUGCCCCGGACUCUGGGAUAAGCGCUGGAAACGGCGUCUAAUACUGGAUAUGCACCAUGGCCGCAUGGCCUGUGGUGGGAAAGAUUUAUCGGUUCGGGAUGGACUCGCGGCCUAUCAGCUAGAUGGUGAGGUAAUGGCUCACCAUGGCGACGACGGGUAGCCGGCCUGAGAGGGUGACCGGCCACACUGGGACUGAGACACGGCCCAGACUCCUACGGGAGGCAGCAGUGGGGAAUAUUGCACAAUGGGCGCAAACCUGAUGCAGCAACGCCGCGUGAGGGAUGACGGCCUUCGGGUUGUAAACCUCUUUUAGUAGGGAAGAAGCGCAAGUGACGGUACCUGCAGAAAAAGCACCGGCUAACUACGUGCCAGCAGCCGCGGUAAU
RNAcentral lists this ribosomal RNA (509 nucleotides) under uncultured bacterium. RNAcentral's name for it is "bacterial SSU rRNA". It matches the Rfam family "Bacterial small subunit ribosomal RNA", at positions 1 to 524 of the family's 1533-position model. The record is from RNAcentral.